UACGGAGGGUGCAAGCGUUAUCCGGAAUUACUGGGUUUAAAGGGUGCGUAGGCGGCUGUGUAAGUCAGGGGUGAAAGCCUGCAGCUUAACUGUAGAAUUGCCUUUGAUACUGCAUAGCUUGAAACAGGUUGAGGUCAGCGGAAUGUGACAUGUAGCGGUGAAAUGCAUAGAGAUGUCAUAGAACACCAAUUGCGAAGGCAGCUGGCUGGGCUUAAUUUGACGAUGAGGCACGAAAGCGUGGGGAGCGAACAGG
Molecule: ribosomal RNA, 253 nt
Filed under: uncultured bacterium
Lineage: Bacteria
Description: partial 16S ribosomal RNA
Rfam family: Bacterial small subunit ribosomal RNA
Source: RNAcentral